This 290-nucleotide unclassified non-coding RNA is filed under the name Athalia rosae (coleseed sawfly). RNAcentral describes it as "misc RNA ENSAEAG00005008168.1". The record is from RNAcentral. Lineage: Eukaryota; Metazoa; Arthropoda; Insecta; Hymenoptera; Athaliidae.
AUUUCAUUCAUGUUUCACAUCGUUAAUUUGAUAAUGAAAGCUAUCAUCAUCUAUAAGGUGUACAUCAUGAAAUCGAUGGAACAUUUUUGCAUUAUUCGCGAUGUCGUACAGGUGAAUUUGCGAACGAGAUCAUAGGACAGAUAUCUCAAAGGCCAAUAGCUGGGGAUCGCCGGUCAAAUUUUCAAUGUUACGUACUCACACCCCUCUCCUCUUUUGCGACCUCUUGAGGCUUCGACCCACUCGCCUGAUAUCAAAACAAUACCAACGUUUUAUAGCGCACCUGAUUGCUC